This is a long non-coding RNA of Mustela lutreola (European mink), 3291 nucleotides long. RefSeq lists it as uncharacterized. Lineage: Eukaryota; Metazoa; Chordata; Mammalia; Carnivora; Mustelidae. The record is from RefSeq and is a predicted model, not a curated record. The transcript is spliced from 3 exons.
AGCUUCACCAUCUGCCUGAUAACCCUGGAAUGGAAACUUUGGGUCAUUUUUAAACUUCCCUUUCCCCUUGUCCCUCCACGUGGGUUCCCAAUUCUUGACCUUUUUUUUUUCAUGCUGAUUCCUCUCCCUGGAAUUCCAUUUGCCAUGUCCUUCCCAUCCCCUAAGGCCAAGGUAAAUGCCAACUCCAGCAUGGAGGCUGCUGGUGUUCUCAGUAAAAAGUAACUUCUGGAGCUUAACCCUACUUGCAAAAUUCUGGUGCUCUAGAGUAGACUACAUGGUGGCUCUCUUUUGUCUGGGCUAGAGGAAGGAAGAAGCCAGAGAGGUUUUGCUUUUUGUUUGUAAGAUCAAGAGCUGAACUAGCUCAGCUGACCUUCCCGCAGAGGCAUUUUCAGGCAAGUCGUUGAUACCUUCAUACAUCGCUUGGUGGGAAGAAUAGGUGGUGAAUGUGCAUCUCCUCAGAAGAGUCCUGGGCCUCUGGGAGCCUGUGGGGAGACACAGAGAGAAAGACAGAGAGACAGAAAGACUGGUAUGAGCUCUCUCCUGGGAGGAGGACGCCCAAACAUCCCACUUCUCCAUCUCCAUGAAGUGACAAAUGUGGCUGGAAAAGAUGAGAAAAAUGAGGCAGAGUGAGAUAAAAUGAUUUUUCUAAACUCAGUCACUGACAAAGCUCUCUAGCAGUGAUAUAAGGUGGGUAUCAUUAUUACCAUUUUAAGUUUUAAUAAGAAAAUCAAUGGUUGUUUCUAGAUGGCUGAAUUUGAGUGGAUUGACCCAAGAAGGAGGUAAAAUUAAUUUUUCUUUCAGAGCCAUAAUUAUUCUUUUAUUUAGGAAAAUGCAUUUAUGAGCCUGUUUGUUGUUGAAAGCAAGGUGGAAUUGAAUUUUAAACAAACACUAGGUAAGUGCUCUGCACAGUAAAAUAACAGGAAGUUUAGAGCUGCCUGCUGGUGCAUUCAGAUGGUUGAAGAACCUGUAAGAGAAGAAGGUAGGUAUGGUACAGAGAGAGGGCAAGGAGGGGGUGCUAGGUAACAGGUUAAGAACCUUCAAGGAGUGUAGUGUGAGAAAUUCCAUGGGGAGGGAAUGACCAGUGAAUUUCUUGGAACAAGGAUGUCUGACAUCUAGUGUAAAGUUUUUUUCUGUAUUUGUCAUAACUGCUCUCUGUUCAGCCUAAACCUUCAAGAAAAGAUUGCUACUCGAUUCAGAGGUAAGACGGCGGAGAAGUAGCAGGCUGAGACUACUUCUGCUAGCAGGAGAUCAGCUAGAUAGCUUAUCUAAAGAUUGCAAACACCUGCAAAUCCAUCAGCAGAUCGAAGAGAAGAAGAACAGCAAUUCUGGAAACAGAAAAACAACCACUUUCUGAAAGGAUCUGGUGGUAGCAGGAUAGCUGCUGAAGCUGCUUCCCAGCUUCAGGGAGAUGGAUUCCUAUGGAAUUGACUUCUGCUGGACACAAGUUCUUUCAGGGUCAGACGUACUCACCUAUUAUCACCACAUGGCUGCCGAUUUGUCCUUGUAGCACUUCCAUGUUUCUUCAUCCGGUUCUUUGGUGUAAUAAGGAGAAACAAGAGUUGGAGAGAGGUAAAAGCAUAGCUUUUCUAAAAGAAACAACAGGGUUUGUGUAGAAUUCCACUCCAGGUUUGGAAGAAUAAAUAUAUAAAGUGAGCCUGAAACAUCUUUUCACACCAGAGCGCAAGAAAACCAUUAAAGACUUUGGGGACUGUAUUAAAAGAUUUAGGAGCUGACUUGAAGGACUUCACUGAUCAAAGAUAGGACAAUUUGAAAAACACAAAAAAUAUAUAACUGCAAAUAGACUGAAUGAAGUUCAUAGGAUAUGUUAAUACACCUGACUUACAAUGAUAAGCAGCACAAUUGGUCACCUUUGUGAGAUGUUUGGGAAUGAAUCCAUUAUUCUAAAAAUAGGUAAAUAAGAGCAAAGAACUCAAUCUGUCACUUUUUUUUGUUUCCAUCAGAGCAACCAACUAUUUAUUGAGAGAAAGUGUUUCCUUGUAGAAAAUUCCAGUUUUGACUAACUGUAUUUUAAUGGAGAAUAUAAGAUUUAAAAUAUCAGUAUUUCCAUCUUUAAUGAGAUAAUUGAUCUAAGCAAUUAACAUCAAUGCCUGCUAAGAGCAGGAGUUGAAAAGCUGAUAGGGAACUUUGUAAUCAAUGACUUAGGCUGGCAACACCUGGACUCUUGAUCAAUAGUAACUUCAGGCACUAUGUACCUCCUGAUGGGAUGCAAUAGGAAGGACAAGGCACCACCUAUAAACUGUUCUUGCCAAAAAAAUUGAACCUAAACAUAAUCAUGCCUUCUAGUUUACCGGAAAUAUUGGGGCAUAGGGAUAGAUACAAUAUAUGGACCUUUUUUGGAUUCUGAUUUAAACAAACCAAGUACUAACAAAUAUAUUAAGCAAUAGGAAAAAUUUGAAUGCUAACUGAAUAUUUGAUGAUAUUGAGGAAUUAUUAACUUUUUCAAAUGUGAUUAUGGUAUUAUGGUUAUAUUUUUAAAAACUUUAUAUUUUUAUAGAUACAUAAUUAAAUAUUCACCUUUGAAAUAAUAAUGUCUGGGAUUUGUUUCAUAAUAAUAUAGUGUAUGUGUGGGGUAAUUGAGUAGGAAUAUAGGUGGAUAAGUAUGGCCAUGUAUUUAUAAUUAAUGAAGCUGGGUGAUGGGUAUGUGCAGUUGACUCUAGUGUUCUAUUUGGCAUAUGUUUAAUAUUUUCCAUAAUAAAAUUUGGAAAAGAAAAGAGUUAACAUUUGUCAACCACUUUUGAAUCAUUGUAAUUAUGGCUUCUGCUACCCUGGCUCUAGGCAGGGGCCUUGAUGCAAAGGCUCUGGGAGACAUAAACAAUGGAUGUGUGAAGGCUGAGCGGAGGCUGUUUUGGGAGUGAGAAGAGCAUACACAGGACCAUUGCUUUUCAGGUCUCAGCCACAGGUCUCUUUUUUCUGCUGACCCUUCUCCCAUUUUUGUCCUAUUCUGGACUGGACAGGAUUCAGUGGAACAAACUGGGAAAACUAUGGGGGAUUUGUUCUUAGGAAUUGUGACAUUGGCUCUUAAUCGGCAUACCUCUUGUUGCUGAUGCUGUGAUUCUGGGAGCUACCACCGACCACAAGUCAAUGAAACCAUUCUCUUCUACUAGUGGCUAAAACUUGAUGUCAUGUCACUGCCAAACAUAAAGUCUUGGAUCCUGUUAAAAGAUAAAGCCUGUAAAAAAUGGCAGACCCUGUAACCUAUAAAUUUUUAUGUUAAAGUUCCAGGAGAAAACUCAUUGUGUGAGCAUUCUGCUAUCCAUCUGGAGAUGGCCA